This 675-nucleotide ribosomal RNA is filed under the name Micromonospora sp. YIM 63641. Its description in RNAcentral is "bacterial SSU rRNA". It matches the Rfam family "Bacterial small subunit ribosomal RNA", at positions 61 to 755 of the family's 1533-position model. The record is from RNAcentral. Lineage: Bacteria; Bacillati; Actinomycetota; Actinomycetes; Micromonosporales; Micromonosporaceae.
GUCGAGCGGAAGGCCCUUCGGGGUACUCGAGCGGCGAACGGGUGAGUAACACGUGAGCAACCUGCCCUAGGCUUUGGGAUAACCCUCGGAAACGGGGGCUAAUACCGAAUAUGACGCUUCGCCGCAUGGUGGGGUGUGGAAAGUUUUUCGGCCUGGGAUGGGCUCGCGGCCUAUCAGCUUGUUGGUGGGGUAAUGGCCUACCAAGGCGACGACGGGUAGCCGGCCUGAGAGGGCGACCGGCCACACUGGGACUGAGACACGGCCCAGACUCCUACGGGAGGCAGCAGUGGGGAAUAUUGCACAAUGGGCGGAAGCCUGAUGCAGCGACGCCGCGUGAGGGAUGACGGCCUUCGGGUUGUAAACCUCUUUCAGCAGGGACGAAGCGUAAGUGACGGUACCUGCAGAAGAAGCGCCGGCCAACUACGUGCCAGCAGCCGCGGUAAGACGUAGGGCGCGAGCGUUGUCCGGAUUUAUUGGGCGUAAAGAGCUCGUAGGCGGCUUGUCGCGUCGACUGUGAAAACCCGCAGCUCAACUGCGGGCCUGCAGUCGAUACGGGCAGGCUAGAGUUCGGUAGGGGAGACUGGAAUUCCUGGUGUAGCGGUGAAAUGCGCAGAUAUCAGGAGGAACACCGAUGGCGAAGGCAGGUCUCUGGGCCGAUACUGACGCUGAGGAGCG